Molecule: ribosomal RNA, 545 nt
Filed under: Bifidobacterium longum subsp. suillum
Lineage: Bacteria; Bacillati; Actinomycetota; Actinomycetes; Bifidobacteriales; Bifidobacteriaceae
Description: bacterial SSU rRNA
Rfam family: Bacterial small subunit ribosomal RNA
Source: RNAcentral
AACGGGUGGUAAUGCCGGAUGCUCCAGUUGAUCGCAUGGUCUUCUGGGAAAGCUUUCGCGGUAUGGGAUGGGGUCGCGUCCUAUCAGCUUGACGGCGGGGUAACGGCCCACCGUGGCUUCGACGGGUAGCCGGCCUGAGAGGGCGACCGGCCACAUUGGGACUGAGAUACGGCCCAGACUCCUACGGGAGGCAGCAGUGGGGAAUAUUGCACAAUGGGCGCAAGCCUGAUGCAGCGACGCCGCGUGAGGGAUGGAGGCCUUCGGGUUGUAAACCUCUUUUAUCGGGGAGCAAGCGAGAGUGAGUUUACCCGUUGAAUAAGCACCGGCUAACUACGUGCCAGCAGCCGCGGUAAUACGUAGGGUGCAAGCGUUAUCCGGAAUUAUUGGGCGUAAAGGGCUCGUAGGCGGUUCGUCGCGUCCGGUGUGAAAGUCCAUCGCUUAACGGUGGAUCCGCGCCGGGUACGGGCGGGCUUGAGUGCGGUAGGGGAGACUGGAAUUCCCGGUGUAACGGUGGAAUGUGUAGAUAUCGGAAAAGAACACCACGG